RNAcentral lists this ribosomal RNA (803 nucleotides) under uncultured Bacteroidota bacterium. Its description in RNAcentral is "bacterial SSU rRNA". It matches the Rfam family "Bacterial small subunit ribosomal RNA", at positions 71 to 875 of the family's 1533-position model. Lineage: Bacteria; Pseudomonadati; Bacteroidota. The record is from RNAcentral.
CAGAAAAGCUUGCUUUUGCUGACGACCGGCGCACGGGUGCGUAACGCGUAUGCAACCUACCUCAUACUGGAGGAUAGCCCCUGGAAACGGGGAUUAAUACUCCAUAGUAUCACAAUUUCGCAUGUUAUUGUGAUUAAAGUUUUUCGGUAUGAGAUGGGCAUGCGUCCCAUUAGCUUGUUGGUGAGGUAACGGCUCACCAAGGCAACGAUGGGUAGGGGGCCUGAGAGGGUGGUCCCCCACACUGGUACUGAGACACGGACCAGACUCCUACGGGAGGCAGCAGUGAGGAAUAUUGGUCAAUGGAGGCAACUCUGAACCAGCCAUGCCGCGUGAAGGAUGACGGCCCUAUGGGUUGUAAACUUCUUUUAUAGAGGAAGAAACUUAUCUACGUGUAGAUAACUGACGGUACUCUACGAAUAAGGAUCGGCUAACUCCGUGCCAGCAGCCGCGGUAAUACGGAGGAUCCAAGCGUUAUCCGGAUUCAUUGGGUUUAAAGGGUCCGUAGGCGGGUCUUUAAGUCAGUGGUGAAAGCCGACAGCUCAACUGUCGAACUGCCAUUGAUACUGGAGACCUUGAGUACAAAUGAAGUAGGCGGAAUGAGUCAUGUAGCGGUGAAAUGCAUAGAUAUGACUCAGAACACCGAUUGCGAAGGCAGCUUACUAACAUGUAACUGACGCUGAGGGACGAAAGCGUGGGGAGCGAACAGGAUUAGAUACCCUGGUAGUCCACGCCGUAAACGAUCAUCACUCGCUGUUGGCGAUAUACUGUCAGCGGCCAAGCGAAAGUAUUAAGUGAUGCACCUG